Molecule: ribosomal RNA, 253 nt
Filed under: uncultured bacterium
Lineage: Bacteria
Description: partial 16S ribosomal RNA
Rfam family: Bacterial small subunit ribosomal RNA
Source: RNAcentral
UACGAAGGGUGCAAGCGUUACUCGGAAUUACUGGGCGUAAAGCGUGCGUAGGUGGUGAGUUAAGUCUGUCGUGAAAGCCCCGGGCUCAACCUUUGAACGCCGAUGGAUACUGCCGGGCUAGAGUCCGGAAGAGGCGAGUGGAAUUCCAGGUGUAGCGGUGAAAUGCGUAGAUAUCUGGAGGAAUACCGGUGGCGAAGGCGGCAUCCUGGACCGGCAUUGACGCUGAGGAGCGAAAGCCAGGGGAGCAAACGGG